This 157-nucleotide unclassified non-coding RNA is filed under the name uncultured Trichocomaceae. RNAcentral describes it as "sequence contains ITS1". Lineage: Eukaryota; Fungi; Ascomycota; Eurotiomycetes; Eurotiales; Trichocomaceae. The record is from RNAcentral.
CAGAGUUGCGAAACUCCAAAACCAUUGUGAACCUACCCUUGCCGUUGCUUCGGCGGGCGGGCCCCGCGCCCCCCGGCCCCCACGGGCGCCCGCCGGAGGUGAUACCAAACCAUUGAACGCGCGUGGCCUCUCUGAGUCUUCUGUACUGAAUAAGUCA